UUUUAUGAUGGCUGAUGUUAAGGUGAAAGAUUGUAAUUCUUUUUAUAGUUUAAAACUUCAUAAAAU
This 66-nucleotide transfer RNA is filed under the name Polyascus gregaria. RNAcentral describes it as "tRNA-Tyr". Lineage: Eukaryota; Metazoa; Arthropoda; Thecostraca; Sacculinidae. The record is from RNAcentral.